This 465-nucleotide ribosomal RNA is filed under the name uncultured Klebsiella sp. RNAcentral's name for it is "bacterial SSU rRNA". It matches the Rfam family "Bacterial small subunit ribosomal RNA", at positions 338 to 795 of the family's 1533-position model. The record is from RNAcentral. Lineage: Bacteria; Pseudomonadati; Pseudomonadota; Gammaproteobacteria; Enterobacterales; Enterobacteriaceae.
CCUACGGGUGGCUGCAGUGGGGAAUAUUGCACAAUGGGCGCAAGCCUGAUGCAGCCAUGCCGCGUGUGUGAAGAAGGCCUUCGGGUUGUAAAGCACUUUCAGCGGGGAGGAAGGCGUUAAGGUUAAUAACCUUGUCGAUUGACGUUACCCGCAGAAGAAGCACCGGCUAACUCCGUGCCAGCAGCCGCGGUAAUACGGAGGGUGCAAGCGUUAAUCGGAAUUACUGGGCGUAAAGCGCACGCAGGCGGUCUGUCAAGUCGGAUGUGAAAUCCCCGGGCUCAACCUGGGAACUGCAUUCGAAACUGGCAGGCCAGAGUCUUGUAGAGGGGGGUAGAAUUCCAGGUGUAGCGGUGAAACGCGUAGAGAUCUGGAGGAAUACCGGUGGCGAAGGCGGCCCCCUGGACAAAGACUGACGCUCAGGUGCGAAAGCGUGGGGAGCAAACAGGAUUAGAUACCCCUGUAGUC